Molecule: ribosomal RNA, 301 nt
Filed under: uncultured bacterium
Lineage: Bacteria
Description: bacterial SSU rRNA
Rfam family: Bacterial small subunit ribosomal RNA
Source: RNAcentral
CCUACGGGAUGCAGCAGUAGGGAAUAUUGGUAAUCUGCGAAAGCGGGAACCAGCAACGCCGCGUGUGCGAAGAAGGCCUUCGGGUUGUAAAGCACUUUUCGGGAGGAAGAGGAAGGACUGUACUCCCGGAAUAAGUCUCGGCUAACUACGUGCCAGCAGCCGCGGUAAUACGUAGGAGGCAAACGUUAUCCGGAUUUACUGGGCGUAAAGCGCGUGCAGGCGGUUUGAUAAGUUGGAUGUGAAAGCUCCCGGCUCAACUGGGAGAGGUCAUUCAAUACUGUCAGACUUGAGGAUGGUAGAG